RNAcentral lists this ribosomal RNA (332 nucleotides) under uncultured Gemmatimonas sp. Its description in RNAcentral is "bacterial SSU rRNA". It matches the Rfam family "Bacterial small subunit ribosomal RNA", at positions 568 to 898 of the family's 1533-position model. Lineage: Bacteria; Pseudomonadati; Gemmatimonadota; Gemmatimonadia; Gemmatimonadales; Gemmatimonadaceae. The record is from RNAcentral.
CGCGUAGGUGGCUCUAUAAGUCGGGGGUGAAAUGCUGCGGCUCAACCGCAGCGCUGCCUCCGAGACUGUAGGGCUCGAGCACGGUAGAGGCCGAUGGAAUUCCCGGUGUAGCGGUGGAAUGCGUAGAGAUCGGGAAGAACACCAAUGGCGAAGGCAGUCGGCUGGGCCGUUGCUGACACUGAGGCGCGACAGCGUGGGGAGCAAACAGGAUUAGAUACCCUGGUAGUCCACGCCGUAAACGAUGGGCACUAGGCGUCGGGGGGAGCGACCCUCCCGGUGCCGUCGCUAACGCAGUAAGUGCCCCGCCUGGGGAGUACGGCCGCAAGGUUGAA